ACGAAGCAUUUGCGACAGAUUUUUUCGGAAUGAAGUUGCUUAUGACUGAGUGGCGGACGGGUGAGUAACGCGUGGGUAACCCGCCUUGUACUGGGGGAUAGCAGCUGGAAACGGCUGGUAAUACCGCAUAAGCGCACAAUGUUGCAUGACAUGGUGUGAAAAACUCCGGUGGUAUAAGAUGGACCCGCGUCUGAUUAGCUAGUUGGUGAGAUAACAGCCCACCAAGGCGACGAUCAGUAGCCGACCUGAGAGGGUGACCGGCCACAUUGGGACUGAGACACGGCCCAGACUCCUACGGGAGGCAGCAGUGGGGAAUAUUGCACAAUGGAGGAAACUCUGAUGCAGCGACGCCGCGUGAGUGAAGAAGUAAUUCGUUAUGUAAAGCUCUAUCAGCAGGGAAGAUAGUGACGGUACCUGACUAAGAAGCUCCGGCUAAAUACGUGCCAGCAGCCGCGGUAAUACGUAUGGAGCAAGCGUUAUCCGGAUUUACUGGGUGUAAAGGGAGUGUAGGUGGCCAUGCAAGUCAGAAGUGAAAAUCCGGGGCUCAACCCCGGAACUGCUUUUGAAACUGUAAGGCUAGAGUGCAGGAGGGGUGAGUGGAAUUCCUAGUGUAGCGGUGAAAUGCGUAGAUAUUAGGAGGAACACCAGUGGCGAAGGCGGCUCACUGGACUG
This 672-nucleotide ribosomal RNA is filed under the name uncultured Lachnospiraceae bacterium. Its description in RNAcentral is "bacterial SSU rRNA". It matches the Rfam family "Bacterial small subunit ribosomal RNA", at positions 66 to 736 of the family's 1533-position model. Lineage: Bacteria; Bacillati; Bacillota; Clostridia; Lachnospirales; Lachnospiraceae. The record is from RNAcentral.